This 497-nucleotide ribosomal RNA is filed under the name uncultured bacterium. RNAcentral describes it as "partial 16S ribosomal RNA". It matches the Rfam family "Bacterial small subunit ribosomal RNA", at positions 28 to 507 of the family's 1533-position model. The record is from RNAcentral.
GAUGAACGCUGGCGGCGUGCCUAAUACAUGCAAGUCGAGCGAACGGACGAGAAGCUUGCUUCUCUGAUGUUAGCGGCGGACGGGUGAGUAACACGUGGAUAACCUACCUAUAAGACUGGGAUAACUUCGGGAAACCGGAGCUAAUACCGGAUAAUAUUUUGAACCGCAUGGUUCAAAAGUGAAAGACGAUCUUGCUGUCACUUAUAGGUGGAUCCGCGCUGCAUUAGCUAGUUGGUAAGGUAACGGCUUACCAAGGCAACGAUGCAUAGCCGACCUGAGAGGGUGAUCGGCCACACUGGAACUGAGACACGGUCCAGACUCCUACGGGAGGCAGCAGUAGGGAAUCUUCCGCAAUGGGCGAAAGCCUGACGGAGCAACGCCGCGUGAGUGAUGAAGGUCUUCGGAUCGUAAAACUCUGUUAUUAGGGAAGAACAUAUGUGUAAGUAACUGUGCACAUCUUGACGGUACCUAAUCAGAAAGCCACGGCUAACUACGUG